UUAAAUAGCCGCAGUAUUUUAACUGUGCAAAGGUAGCAUAAUAAUUAGUCUUUUAAUUGAGGUCUGGAAUGAAUGGUUAGACGAGAAAUAUACUUUAUUAGUGAAAUUUUUUUGAACUUGUUUUUUAAGUUAAAAAUCUUAAAUUUUUUAGAGGGACGAUAAGACCCUAUAGAUCUUUAAAAUUUUAAAUUUUUUUCUUUUUUUGUUGUUUUUGAGGUUAAUUUUUUUUUAUUUUUUAGUUGGGGUGAUAGACAAAAUUUUGAACUUUGUUUUUUUUUUACAUUUAUUUAUGUUUUUUUUGAUCCUUUUUUUUGAUUAAAAGAUAAAGAUACCUUAGGGAUAACAGCGUUAUUUAUUCGGAGAGUUCUAAUCGAUGAGUGAGUUUGCGAC
This 390-nucleotide ribosomal RNA is filed under the name Pochazia discreta. Its description in RNAcentral is "partial 16S ribosomal RNA". Lineage: Eukaryota; Metazoa; Arthropoda; Insecta; Hemiptera; Ricaniidae. The record is from RNAcentral.